GAUGCGAACAAAAACCCUUGCCACUAUAGGUUAUAUGGCACCAGGUUUGCUUCAAACAACUUUUUUUUAGUUCAUUUUAAAUUUUCUAAAUCAUUGAUUUUUACGAUCCUCAUAUCAAAUUGUUACUGAUUAUUUAUCUAAUUGUGAAAUUAAUUUGAUUCAUAGAGUACGGCAUUGAAGGAGAAGUAUCUACAAAAAGUGAUGUUUACAGCUAUGGGAUUAUGUUGAUGGAAACUUUUACCAAGAAAAAACCCACAGAUGAAAUUUUUGUUGGAGAAUUGAGCUUAAAGCGUUAGGUUAAUGACUUGCUUCCUAAUUCAUUAGUGGAAGUUGUGGACAAAACUCUGCUAAGUGGAGAGGAAAAACUUUCUACAGCAAAGGAUCAAUGUCUGUUGUCUAUCUUUAUUUUAGCUCUGGAGUGUACAAUGGAAUCACCGGAAAAGAGGAUUAAUGCAAAAGAUAUUGUUACAGGAUUACUCAAGAUAAGAGACAUUGAGUAAAAGGAUUGGAAAUUUAAGUUAAUUUCGUUUGCUUUCAUUGAUAGUUAAAUAGAAUUCAUGUAAUAAGUGUAAGAACCUUAUAUCUUUUCCUUUGAUUUUUUUUCUUGAGAAAACUGUUGCAGUCAUCUUGUUUGCAUGGACAGAGUUGAUUUAGUUCUUCCAAGAAAUGCUACUGAUGAUCUUUGUUUUAUACUUUCUCUUUUUCUUUUUUUUGCAUGUGUUUAGGUAGAAUAGUGAUUUGGUUGCACUUUAAGAAGUCAAACUACACUAAAGAAUAUGAUUUAAUUUAUUAAACAAAACUUCAAGUUCAAGAAAAGUAUCUCAUUGCCCCCAAUGCUUUGGACACCUAUAUAUUGAAAGGUUUGUUGUCCUCAGCUUUUGUUUAGAGCAAAAGUUCGAGUCCCAUAAAGGCUCAAACAUUCCUUUCCUUCAUCCCGAGGGCGCCUUCUGUCCUCUGUUUUCUAUUUCCACACACAAAUAGCAAAAAGAAAUUAGAAUGACAACUGGGACAUAUAUAAGAGUGAAAUAAUUAAAAAAAUUAUGCUUUUUUGUUUGUCGUGUUAAAAUCGUAAGUACCGAAGUACUAUGAAAGAGAUUAAUUUACAGAAACUGAAGCCAAGGGUUAAAAAAAAAGUGCAAAGAGAAUAAUUGUAUUGGUAGCACAAUGUCAUAUUCAUACAGAGAUCAAGUAUAUUAUUUACGGCUAGUAAGGACUAAGAAUUAAUUGUACACUAUUGUUUUAUUCUACAAUCAAUCUUGACCCUUGAUGCUUGGCUCUCAAUCUUGUCCAUUGAUCUUCUCUGAUUUUGGAGACUUGAAGACCUUUCAGUAUCAUGCCUUGUUGUUGGUGUCUUCCAUGCUGUAGAACCGUCGACUUGCCAGGAAUUUGUUCAUUGAUGCAUUUUAUCAAACAGUUGGCCUGCUCAUAGCAAACAGCUCCUGUGUUAACUCCCCCUCCAUAGCUCAACUAUUUGGGAAGACAAUUAAUUGAGCUUGUUUCACAAUUAUAUGAAUCUGAAAGUUCAAGUUCAAUUCGAUGUUAUUGUUGGAGAAUUAACAAAUAAAACACACUAUUUUAUUUCUUCAACAACACUCCUCACCAAUUACAACUCUUAUUUUUCACUCUCUACACCUUAGAGAUUUUGCUACUUCACUUGAUGUUUAAACCAAAUGGGAGAGGGGGUAUUUAUACAUGAAACAAACUAAUCACAACCAUUCAUUUAUUCAACUAAUAAACAAAUCCUCACCAUCCAUUAAAACCUACUACUCACCUACUUCACCAACCACACCUAACACAAAUAAUUCAAACCUCACCAACCAUACCUACUCAUGGAACCUUCCAUGAGUUGGGCUUGAUUUAUUCAUCUUGGAUCAAGUUUAUGAUCCAACAUCUCCCCUUAAAUUUGAUCCUGUGACACCAAGCAAACUUCUGAAUCUUACAAAGUCUUCUUGCUUGAGUGGCUUAGUGAAGAUAUCAGCUGCUUGAUCUUGUGAUUUUACAUACUUGAUUUGCACUUCUUUUUUUGCAAUACACUCUUUUAUGAAAUGAUAGCAAGUGUCUAUGUGUUUACUUCGAUCAUGAAAGACUGGAUUCUUGGAUCGGGCAAUUGCUAAUUUGUUAUCAACACAAAUCUCGAUUGGCUCUUUUUGUGCCAAACUCAACUCCUUCAGCAAAUUUCUGAGCCAAAUUGCAUGACAAACACUUGAUGUGGCAGCUACAUAUUCAGCUUCACAGGUGGAUAGCGUGACAAUUGGUUGCUUCUUUGACAUCCAUGUGAAAGCAGUAUCUCCCAUGAAGAACACAAAUCAUGUUGUGCUCUUUCGAUCAUCUACAUCUCCACCCCAAUCACUAUCGCUAUAUCCAAUAAGCUUGUAGUCAUUAGAAAAUGAGUAUAACAAGCCGAAAUUAAUUGUACCUUUGAUGUAGCGAAGGAUUCUUUUUGCAGCUUUAAAAUGGGUGGUCUUUGGAUUCUUCAUGUAUCGGCUCACAAGUCCAACAGCAUAAAGGAUAUCUGGUCUUGUGCAUGUCAAAUAACGUAAGCUUCCAACCAAACUUUUAAAGAAUGUUGGAUCUAUAUCUUCGCCUUCAUCAUAUUUGGAUAACUUGACUCCGCAUUCCACUGGCGUGCUUAUAGGCUUGCAAUCAUUCAUCUUGAACCUUUUGAGAAUCUCCUUUGCAUAGCUUUCUUGGGAGAUAAAUAUGCCUUCUUCUUUUUGCUUGACUUCAAUGCUGAGGUAAUAUGCCAUCAGUCCGAUGUCAGUCAUCUCGAACUCUUUGAUCGUCACUCUCUUGAACUCUUCAAACAAGCUUGGAUUACUUCCAGUGAAGAUGAGAUCAUUCACAUACAGGCACACAAUCAAAAUAUCUCCAUCUUUUUCUUUGACGUAGAAAGCAUGUUCAUAUGGGCAUUUGUGAAGCCUUUCUCUUAAAAAUACUUGUCAAUUCUGCUAUUCCAUGCCUUUGGUGCUUGCUUUAACCCGUAAAGAGCUUUCUUCAAUCUCAAAACUUUGUCUUCAUGUCCUUUCACCACAUAGCCUAAUGGUUGUUCGAUGUAAACUUCUUCUUCAAGGAAUCCAUUCAAGAAAGCAGACUUCACAUCCAUUUGAAAAAUCUUCCAUUUGUUCUGAACAGCCAAAGAAAUAAUAACUCUAAUAGUUUCAAGUCGAGCUACAGGAGCAAAUACCUCGUCAUAGUCUAUGCCAGCCUUUUGACUAUAGCCUUUUGCAACUAACCUCGCCUUAUGCCUUUCAAUUUCUCCCUUCGCAUUUCUUUUUGUUUUAUACACCCAUUUGACACCAAUCGCCUUGUGACCUUUUGGAAGAGUAGUAAGCUCCCAAGUAUCAUUCUUCACAAUGGCUUUGAUUUCUUCAUCCAUUGCAAUUCUCCACUUCUCAUCUAGUGCAGCUUUUUGGAAGUUGACUGGCUCACAAUCAACAAAGAGGCAAAAGAGAGUGAGAUUAUCAUGUCUCUCAGUUACCUCAUAGAGAUCUUGAAGACUCCUUAUACAUUCUUCGGUUCUUUCAUUUAAGAAAGACGGCGGUGAAUCUCCGCAUGUGGUUGAUGCUGGUGAGAUAGGUAGAGUGGCAGGCUCUUGUUGUUCGUCUACUUGUUUUAUCUAUGUAUGAUCAUCUUCUUAAAUGGGAAAGAAGUUGAAGUCAUCCACACCAGAGCCAAAAUCUCAUUCUCCUUCUUCAUCAAAAACUACAUCUCGACUGAUCACGAUCUUCCCGUUGUUUGGAUUGUAAAGCUUGUGUCCUUUGGAGUUGUUUUCGUAGCCGAUGAAGAUGAACUUCUCACUUUUGUCAUCCAACUUGGCUCUACUUUCGUCUGGUACAUGUACAUGAGCAAUGCUUCCGAAAACUCUUAGAUGGGUGAUGCCGGGUUUUCUUCCACUCCAAGUUUCUUGUGGCGUCUUGCCCCCACACGCUUCUUGUUGGAGAUCGAUUGGAAAAGUAGACUGCACAUGCAACAGCUUCAGCCCAAAAUUCUUUAAGUAGCCUCUUACUCUUAAGCAUGCUUCUUGCCAUAUCGAGGAUGGUUCUGUUCUUUCUUUCUACAACACCAUUUUAUUGGGGGGGAUCUUAGAACUGUCAAAGGACGUCGAAUUCCAUUUACUUCACAAAACUCUAAAAAUUCUUUGGAAGUGAACUCUCCACCUCAAUCAGAUCUCAUGGCUUUAAUCUGGUAUCCACUUUUUUUUUUCAACUGCAGCUUUAAACUUCUUGAAAGCUUCAAAGACUUCUGAUUUUUGCUUCAAAAAAUACACCCAAGUUUUUCUUGAAAAAUCAUCUAUGAAGAGAAGGAAGUAGUUACUUUUCCAAAGGAGUUUGGCUUGAAUGGACCGCACACAUCAGUAUGAAUGAGCUCGAGUGGUUUCUGAGCUCUUGAGUUUGACUCCUUUGGAAAGCUCUUUCUGAACUGCUUGCCAAGUAAACAUCCUUCACAAAGUUGAUCAGGGUGAUUGAUGUAUGGUAAGCCUUUCACCAUGUUCUUCUUAGAUAGUAGCUCCAGUCCUCCAAAGUUGAGAUGCCCAUAUCGAAGAUGCCAAGUUCAGGAUUGAUCUUUGUGACAGGCUUUGAGACAUUUUGCAACAUCAUUUUGAAUAUUUAAUGGAAACAUUCUAUUCUUCGACAUUUUCACCUUUGUAAUUAGAUUUCCUUUGUCAUCUCUUAGGAAAAGACUAUAAUCUUUUAAGUGAACAUCAUAGCCUUUUUCUAAAAGUUGACCUAAACUAAGAAUGUUGCUUUUCAUAUUGGGCACAUAGUAAACAUUCGAAAUUAUUUGGUGGCUACCAUCUUUUGCACGAAAAAGAAUGUUACCUCUACCUUUUACUGGUACUUUUGAAUCAUCUCCAAAAGCGACACUGCCAUUCACAGAUUCACUUAGUUGCACGGACAUGCUUCUAUUUCCACUCAUAUGAUUGCUAGCACCUGUGUCAAGAUACCAUGUAUUUUCUUGAUCUCCACUUGUGUCAUUGCGUGCUAGUAAAAGUGUGCCAUCUUCACCAUUUUUCUCUUCAGCAUAGUUCACUCUCUCAUCAAUUCUGGUGCUUGGAGCUCUGCAUUCUGAAGCAUAAUGCCCAAACUUUUGACAAUUAUAGCACUGUACUUGGGAUUUGUCAUACCUCGAUCUUAGAUUGCCUCUGCCUCGUCCUCUGGUUGAGCUUUCUCCUUUGGCAUAAUUUGAGUUGUUGUUGUUGAAAUUCGAACCUCGUCCAUGACCACGACCUCUACCUCGUCCUCGACCUCUACCUCGGACAUAGUGCCUUCUUUCGUUGUCGGAUUGACUUCCAUCUUGAGAAGUUGUUCUUCGAUUCCUUGCUUUUUUUUUUGUUUUUCUUCAUAGGCUUGCAACCUUCCUUGAAGUUGCUUGAUCGUCAUAUCCUCCAAAUCUCUUGUUUCUUCAAUUGUCACAACAAUAUGGUCAAACUUCGAGUCUACUGAUCAAAGUAUCUUUUCAAUGAUCCUUACCUCUUUUAACUCCUCGCCAUUUCUUUUUAAUUCAUUGGAAACGGUCACAACCCGAGUAAAGUAGUCAGAAAUUGACUCCGAUGCCUUCAUGUGUAAGGACUCAAAUUCUCCUCGUAAUGUUUGGAAACGAACCUUUUUAACUUGCUCUGCUCCUUUGUAAGAAGUCUCUAGUUUCUCCCAUACUUCUUUUGAGGAGGUUGUACCAGCAAUCUUUUCAAAAGAAUCUUCAUAUAAUGAUUGAAAGAUGAGAUAUUUUGCUUUAUUUUCUUUCUUCUUCAAGUCUUUUAAAUUCUCCUUCUGCGCCGCAGUUAAAGUGGCUUCAUUUUCUGGCACAAUAAAGCCUUUCUCCACGAUAUCCCAUACGUCAUGUGCGCCCAAUAGAGCCUUCAUUUUAAUACUCCAAUUGUCAAACUUACUUCCCUUUAAUUGUGGAACUUGAAAUGAAAUCAUACCACCGUUUGCCAUAACUCACAAAUUGAGUGAGAAUUUGGAGAUUCUGAAAGCACAGAUGGAUCUGGCACGUCGAAAAACCUUGGGAAUGACUCGAGUCAACUUUCGGUCAAUGGUCAACAGUCAAUGCUAGUCAACGGUCAACGUCGGGCAACGGUCAAUGCCGGCUUGGUAGUCUUGGUUCAGUCCGGAUUGGUUCAGCUCGAGUUGGCUCGGUUCGACUUGACUCGGUUCAGCUCGGCUCAGCUUGGUUCAGUUCGGCUCAGCUUGGUUCAACUCGGUGAGUCGACUUAGCGUCAGGACAGAAAACUUCCGGCGGCAAGUGUGGGCGCGUUGGGUCUCGGAUCCGGAUGAUUAUUGCGGCGUCACGUUCCUCUCUUCGAGAUCUUCGAUUUGAUAUGCUAUAUGACUAUAUAUAGCAUUAAACACUAACUCUGAUACCAUUUUGUUGGAGAAUUAACAAAUAAAACACACAAAAAACACACUAUUUUAUUUCUUCAACAACACUCCUCACCAAUUACAACUCUUAUUUUUCACUCUCUACACCUUAGAGAUUUUGCUACUUCACUUGAUGUUUAAACCAAAUGGGAGAGGAGGUAUUUAUACAUGAAACAAACUAAUCACAACCAUUCAUUUAUUCAACUAAUAAACAAAUCCUCACCAUCCAUUAAAACCUACCACUCACCUACUUCACCAACCAUACCUACUCAUGGAAUCUUCCAUGAGUUGGGCUUGAUUUAUUCAUCUUGGAUCAAGUUUAUGAUCCAACAGUUAUAUGGGUAUUUCAUUUAUUUGAGUAGGGGUUAGGGGUCAAUUGGAUACAAAUUCAAAAUUAUCCUUACUUGAGAUGGUGAUAAAAGUUGGGGAUUUAGUUUGGGUGUCAUUAGCUACAAAUAUUAAACUCAUACAUCUAAUUCAAAAUUAGAGGGCUGAUAUAUGUGCAUCCUCGUGCACAUUAUAGUGACACGUGUCACCAUCCAACAACCUAUCCAAUGAAAAAUUGACCUGCAUCUUGUGCGCUUCUGAUCAAAAUCCUGAAAAUUAAUCACAAAGUUAUACUUUUAUUAUAAAAAGAAUAAAGAAACUCCAAGAAAAAAAAAAGACUUACAUAAAUAGUUUGAGUAAUCUAGAUUCCAAGUUGUCUAUAUUAGCUUGAUCUUUUUAUAAAUAGUCAUCUUCGAAAAAAAAUUCCACCAAUAUAUAUUUUAAUUUUAUGUUAAUUAAUAAAUAGAAAAAAAAAUCAUUUUAGAAUUAAUUAAAACAUUAUUUAUUGUUGCCAAAAAAAGGAAGAAUUUAGUGAUAAGAAAAAAGUGUCUCAAAUAUACGUUAAAAAAAUUAAUCAUGGUGGGUUCGAUUGAUUGAAUUUUUUUUAUCUUUUUCUUUUUUAAGAAUUAAGACAAUUGGAUUGAUUGAGUAAUAAUAAAAUAUAUGUAUUUGGCAAAUGGCAGGGAGGCUUUCGUCUAAUGCAGAUUGAUUAGAGAGAAAAUAUAACAAUUUUAAGCUCGUCAGAUUCGAAGCUGCUUACUUGUCGUGUGGGGAUCACUUCCGUGUCUUAUUUUUCUAGAAAAAUCUUGAUCAUUGGAUUUCCCAUUAGUCAAUACAGAAAUGUUGAUCUUGAUUCUUGAUUAAGAUCGAAGUUUGAUUCUAACCAACAUGAUGUCAGAUUCAGAUUGCGAAGCAAGCAAAUUGAAAGUAACUUGUUCUAUUUUGAUAAACACAAGUUCUAAUAAAACAUUCUCAUAGUAAAGUGAAUUACCAUCCAACGAUCCAACUCAUGUUUUCAAAUUGUAAAUUGCAAAUCAUGUGUUUGCUCCAUUACAGCGUUUCUUCAAUCUGAAAUAGAGAAUCAUUUGUGUUCUGGAUUAAUCGUGGGUCUAUAUCCAAAUCUAAAAAUUGACUAACUUAAUUUCUAUUAAAUUCUUAAUCCUAACAAGAAAAAUUGAAGAUUAAAAACGACUAAUUUGGUACCAUACCACUAUUGUAACAUAGGUAGAUCCUCUAUUAAUUGGAGUAAAGAUUGAAUUAUCUCAUUUAUUACGGUUUAUCAAAAUCUUGUGUCAAAAUCUAUUAAUGAUAUAGGUUCAAGGAUGAAAGAGUCACUUCAUUACUUUUGAGUUCGCAAAUAGAUGAAUGGAUCUUAUUUUUAGAUUCCGGAGACAAGUUUAUUGGAAGAAACAAGUUUAUUGAUGUGAGGCCAUUGAGAUUGUAAGUUUUAAAUCUGAGAAGAAUACCCACACACCCAUUAUCCUAUUACUCUUAUAUCACAUGAAGAGAAUUCAACAUUUGAUUCACAAGGAAAAAAUUUGUGAGGAUUGUGAGGGUUGAUGGAAUAUAAUUUAGAUACAAAGUGUUUACCAGUGCGAUGCUUCGCAAGUGUUCUGGAAUCAAUAUAAACUCACAUUAUUUUCAUAGUGAUUGUUUCAUUUGCACGUGGAUAUAAUCACAUGUCGAGAUUUUUUUCCUUAAAUUAUGGUCUUAUUUAGUACCGAGGUGUUAUAUCUUUUAACGUACAAUUAUUGUUGGAAAAAAGUUGCAACUAUCAAAUAAAAUUAAUACUAUGUGCUAAAUAUAAUUGUUAAAUAAUAAUUUUGACAAAAUUAGUGAAGUUAUAUAGAUUUUUUUUUAUCAUCCAAGUAUAAAAUCAAAUCAACUUAACUUCUAAGUUAUAUAUCGGCUACUGUUUAUCAUAUGUUUUAGUUCUGUAACUUUUAAGUUAUAGUUACCCAACCUUAAUUCUAAACAAGACCUAUAAAGAUCAAAGAUUUCCUCAUUAAAUUAUAUGUCUUGUGAUUGCUUAUUUAAUUUAUAUUUUUGUUAUUUAUCUUUAUUAAUUAUAAUCAUCUUUUUAUAAAUUAAAAUUGAAGGAAGUUGAUUGAUGUUGUUGACACACACACACACACGCACGCACACACUCACAAAGAUAUAUUGGAAGUGCUUACGUUGACUCAAAGUUGUUGGGAAUUAAUGCAUGUAUUAAUUGAUUUAUUGGGAGUGUUUAAAUGAUUUUGUGAUUUACUUGAUUUAUUGAUUGAAUAUUGUUUGAUUGCUUCACAUCCAUUCUAGAAAGUUUAUUUCUUUGUGAAAUUUCAACGAAAUAUGUUUUUGUUUUUAAAUAAGGGUGUUCUAAAUAAUGUUAAAAAAUAUAUGGACUAAUUAGAAUUAAUUAUUAGGUAAUUAACUUAAUCUGUACAGGGUGAAACAACAUUUAUCCUAAUUAUAUCAUGAUAAAUACUUUUCCGAUUAGAAUUAGGAAAUCAUAGGUUUGUUGAAUUAUUAUUUUUAUUUUUCUUUGCAGAAACGGAUUAGAGAAUUAGAAAACAAUGUUGAUGUCAAAAUCUGAUCUAGUCGGUUAGCGACUUAAUAUCAUAUUACUGCACCAGCAUUAAAUUUAUUUGGUGGAGAAUCGGCUGGUCAAUUGUCAAGAUGUCCUGCAAUCACUAGCGAUUAACCUACGAAUACUUGAAAUCACAGAAGACGGUAAGAGGCACUGGAAGUUUUUUCAACGUGAACCUUCUGACGCUCAAGUCAGUUUAUAGGUUUACCAUAAUAAAAAUAAAUAAUUUCUAUUUAAAACAAAAAAUAGAGAUCAAAAGCUCAAAAAUAAAACCCAAUCCCAAUAUGAAGAAUAAUUUUUUUUUUUUAGCUUGGCCGAAUCCUUCUGCCUCCUAAAGAAACAUAACAGAGAAGUAGGUAGCCAUGUUCCCUAUGUAACGCCCCACUCCCAUCUUUUAUUCCUCCCCCUCUCUUCCGUUGCCUUCUUUUGCUCACUAUCCUUUAUAAUUUUUUAUGCUUGUCUUCCCAAAAUAGCCUUUGAAUACACAAGUAAAUGUCUAGGCUUUGGUGAGGAUAGUUUGGUCAUUGCAUUUUACAAGUAAGAUGACUGGUGGAGAAAAAUGAGGAGUGCACAAAACUCUUCAGCAAAUCCCACCAACAAUUCCAUUUUCUUAAUUAAUUAAUCUCCUUUUUUUAUCCCCAAACAAAUCCUAAUGAUACCAUUAUCAGGUUUAAAACAGUACACAAAUAGUGAAAAGCUAACUAGUCUGUAGAGUAAUUUGCUAAUUGCUAUCUCCUCUCUACGCGCGCUGAAUAAUUUGUUGCAUGCAAACUUUUUAUUUUAUGCAAAUCGUAUGUACUGUAACAUUGGAAUUGAUGGAUAAGCAAAAAUACAAGAAUAUUUAUGCCAAUAAAAAUAGUUUUUUUUUCCUUUUUAAAUAAACACAACGCGAUGUUGCUCUGCUCUACAUUUUUGCUAUCUCUUUAUUCUUUUUUUUUUUUUUUGGGCUUCUUAAAGCCUCAAACUUUGAUAACCAAAACUUCAUCGACCUAUGAAAAAAUCUGCAGAUUAGUUUUUAUUAUCGGAAUAAUUGUUUGAGAAUACUAAAACAAAAUAUAAAAUAAGAAAAUAGGGGGUUAAAUUAGAGGGGGAAAAAAGGCAUGUUCUAUCGAUUACUAUAGCUUAAGGGGAAAAAAAAAAUCAAUUGGGAAUUUUUUUCUUUAAUUUUUGUUUUACUUGAUAGAGAUUUCUCCUUAGUCCUUACAGUUUUAAGUUUGGAUGCCGUAGGGUUAGUAAUUUAGUAUUUCCCUUGCAAGCUGAGGUUAAGGAUGGAAUUUCUUUAAAGAAAUUAAAAAGGAUUAAAGAAAAGCAUACCAAUAGGUAAUUAUAAAUAACCAUAAAUAAACAUAAAAAAAAUGUUUAUGAAGUAAAUUACACAUGCACAUAUUAUUUUUUUGUUAUAUUUCUUACUUGUCUAUUUUAUUUGCUGCUUGAUAACCCUUAAAUACUAAUGUAUUAAAAAAGAUUACUCAAAAUGAUGACCACUGGCUUCGCACCAUUUAACCGGCAUACAUUUCUACAAAUUGAACAAGGCUAUUGAUUUUCAUUAUUUUUUUUUAUAAAUUACUAUUUUAAUUUUCACUUUUUAUUGGGUUGUUUAACGGAUUAGUGAAGUUGGUGGUCGUGAUGCACUCACAAGGUACAAUUUUAUUUUAUAAUUUCAAAUUUGUAUUUUAAAAUGCAGGUACAUUAUGUAUACAUAAUUAUUGAUUUUCAUAUGUGGGUGUUUUGAAAUAUUGCUAAAAGACCAAACUUUAAUAAACUAUUUUUCAUCUUUUUUUCCCUUUUUUCCUAAAGGUUGAGUGAUAUCCGCAUUUUAAAUUCAUGUGCUACAAAAGCUAAUGAAUGCACAAAAUUCUUUUAUUUUUUCCUAGAAAAAUGGUAAGAGAAGAAGAUUUUUCUCUUGAAAAAGAAAAACUAAUACGAUGCAAACAUAGGAAAGAGGUCAGUGUUUUGGAUUAGAAUUUAGUAUUGAGCUGAAUUUUAUACUAAACUCUUUUAUAGUACUGCGAUUAAUGAACUCAUGAUUUGCUUUUGCUUUUACUUCAAGUGAAAGAAAGAGGAAACCUUUUGUUUUUUGUUUGAUUCUUGACUAUAGAUGUUACCUAUAUAGAGAGUUGAGGUAGCUGCCUUAAGUGAUGGUGAUAAAAAGAUUAAGCAGCGCACACAAUCUUACUGUCGUCCAGACCAUCCAGCUGUGAUGGCUCUAGUUUUUUGGUUACAUUAGCUUUAGUGGAAAGGAGGGCCAAUUUAACAAAGACUAGAUUUGGUGGCUUACUAUAAUGCUUAUUCUCAAGGAAUCUAAUGUUAUAAGAUGAUUUAAUGAUCUUCUAUGAUUGUGAGUAGUAUAGUAUAAUUGAAAAGAGCCUGGGCUCCUAUGAUGAAUAUUUAAUAGUAACACAAUAUUGUGAUUGAAAAAAACACUGUUACAAUAAACUCUUCAUUUAUUCAUUGCGGAUAUUGAAUGGCAAACAGAGAAUAAAAUGAAGCAGAGGAAUCUCAUUGCUAGUAAAAUUGACCCUCUUUAAUGUUAUAUGGCACAGGUGUGUGUACAGCAAGAGCAAGUGACUUGCAGUUUUUUUUUGUAAAAUAUACAGGUUAUGACCAUGAUCAUUGUAGUUAGGUUUUGACGAUUUUAGAUGCUUUUUUUAUUUUUUUUAAAUUGUGACACCUUUGAUUUAUGGUAGUUUUGCAGAAGAAAAAAAUAUAUAUAAAAAUUAGGAAGAAUGAGUUAACUAACAAUUGCAAUCAUUACAGCAAUGUUGAUGAGUGAUACAUCAUUUGAAAUUUACUUGUCAGUUGCUAAAAUGAUGAAAAAAAACAAUAAACAAUAGCAGUAAUAUUUUUAUGGAAAUUCUUGGUUUUUAUGGAAAUACUCUUGCUGAAAUUCUAAUUUUGACUUUCAACUCUUGGUUUUUAUGGAAAGUAAAAUGACUUGUUUGUUAUAUUCAUACAAUCCACUCUACAUAAUGAUUUCAUUUUAAUAAAUGCUUGAUGAUCUCCACUGAAAAACUACUUCAAUUCUUUUGUUUUAUUUAACUUUUUGGUUGUUGAAAAUAGCCUUAAUUUUCAAAUAACGGGAGAAAGAGUAAAGAACAUUUAACAAAUUUAUGUGCCAAAAAUAAAGGAGAAAUUGAAGAGAAAGGGUGCUUGCAGAAGUGGGUGCAAAGAUAAAUCAGUCUAUAAGAAUUAUUGUGGUUAUUAAUUUUUUGGCAAUAUAAAAAAUUUUCAGCAAAUAAAAAUUGAUUUUUUCCAAUUUACUAAAAAAUUAAUUAAAAACUUUGGCGAUAGCAUUUUUUGUUGGUGCAUGUACCCUCCCUUUUAAAAAAAUAUAAUAAUUAAUACUUAAUAUAGUAUUAAAUACGAAAAUAUCAAAAUUUGACUACACAAAUUUAUAUCAUUAGGUCCUUAAAAUUUAAAAUUGAAGACAUAGAAUGAAAUAUAUAUAUAUAUAUAUAAAUUUUAUAAUCUUAAAAUAUUUGAGCUUUGAAAGAUUUUUUAAAACAAAUGUACUUUUAUUUUUGUACAAUCAAUAUUUACUUAUUUAUUAUAUUUUUAUUCAUUAACUAUCAAUUGUGUGAGUAUAUCUACUUAGAAAUAUCAUAUCAAGGGAGAAUCUUGAUCCCACGUACACGCAAAUAUGUUAAUUUCUAUACGCUUCACUUACCUGUAGAAUCAAUUAUCUAAAAUGCAAGUUUGUGGCCACAAAAAAGGCCAAAGAAAGAAGAUAAUAACAAUUGACUUGUAUAUUAUACUCAUACAAUCCACUCGACAUAAUGAUAUCAUUUUAAUAAGGCAAUGGCUGAUGAUCUCCAUUGAAAAACUAAUUCAUUUUUUUUGCUUCAUUUAACUUUUUGGUUGUUGAAAAUAACCUUAAUUAUCAAAUAAUUGGAGAAAGAGUAAAGAACAUUUAACAAAUUUAUGUGCAAAAAAAAAAGGAGAAGUUGAAGAGAAAGGGUGCUUGCAGAAGUGGGUGUCAAAGAAAAAUCGGUCCAUAAGAAUUAUUGCGGUUAUUUUUUCGCAAUAUAAAAUUUUUAUAGCGUGUAAAAAUUAAUUUUUUUUCCGAUUUACUAAAAAAUUAACUAAAAACUUCUGCGACAGCAUUUUUUAUGGGUGCAUAUACCCUCCCUUUAAAAAAAUAAUAAUAAUUAAUGCUUAAUAUAGUAUUAAAUACGAAAAUAUCAAUAUUUGACAACUCAAAUUUAUAUCAUUAGGUCCUUAAAAUUUAAAAUUGAAGACACGAAAAGAAAUAUAUAAAAAUUUCAUUCUCAUGGAAAGGAUUCUCUUAUAAUCUUAUAAUAUUUGAGUUUUGAAAUUUUUUUGAAACAAAUGUAAUUUUAUUUGUGUACAAUCAAUAUUUACUUAUUUAUUAUAUUUUAAUUUAUUAACUAUCAAUCAUGUAAGUAUAUUUAGUCAGAAAAAUUAUAUCAAGAGAGAAUUCUAAUUUCACACAAACACAAAUACAAGACAAAUAUGUCAAUUUCUAUACUAUUCACUUUCCUGUAGAAUCAAUUAUCUAAAAUGGAAGUUUGUGGCUACAGAAAACUCGCCAAAGAAAGAAGAUAAUAACAAUUGAGCAUUGAUAGCAAAACUAAUGCAUCAUUUUCUUCUUGACUUGAUGAGAUGGCGCCAUCACAAAAAAACAAGUACCUUAAUUGACGGGCACUGAGUGAUGUGAAUACUACCAGCCAGUUCAUCUCUUCCAGUCUUGCUUAAUCACAAUCACAAACACCACGAGAUUGACAUUUGCAUUAUAUAUAUGUUCAGCAAUCGAAACACCUUGCAUUACCAAAUUAACCGCUAACAAACAAAGCAAUCUUUCAGGGAGAGAAACUUUAGUCUCAGUAUGAUCACUGUGUCAUUAACCCACUUCCUGCUUCUUUGCUUGGUUGUUGUAGCAGCAGCAGCAGCAAGCAACAAUAUUACCACAGACCAACAAGCUCUUCUUGCCCUGAAAGAUCAUAUAAUUUAUGAUCCGACCAACCUUUUAGCCCAUAAUUGGACCUCGAAUACAUCUGUUUGUACCUGGAUUGGCAUCACUUGUGAUGUCAAUAGCCAUAGAGUCGCAGCCUUAGAUAUUUCUCAAUUCAAUCUACAAGGCACCAUCCCUCCUCAACUUGGAAACCUCUCUUCACUCACAACGCUUAAUCUUAGUCAUAACAAGCUUUCUGGAAACGUUCCCUCCUCCAUCUACACAAUGCAUACGCUAAAAUUUCUUGACUUCACUGAUAACCAGCUCUCUGGUUCGGUGUCUUCCUUCGUCUUCAACAUGUCUUCAAUAGUAGAAAUUCGUUUGACCAAUAACAGAUUUUCUGGUGAGCUUCCGAAAAAUAUUUGCAACUAUCUUCCUCAUUUGAAAGCCCUUUUUUUGGACAAAAACAUGUUUCAUAGCAAAAUUCCUUCUGCUUUAUCAAAGUGCAAACAACUGCAACAAUUAAAUUUGCAGUUCAAUAAUUUAUCCGGUGCAAUACCAAAAGAAAUCGGCAACUUGACUAUGCUCAAAGGGAUAUCUCUAUUAUGCAACAAACUCCACGGUAUGUUCAUAAUACUAUGUAAAUAUUUUAAUUUCUCACUUGUUAUUUUUCUUGAAUACUUUAGAUAAGAUCUUGUAACAGAGAUUUUUUUGCAUCUAUGUUAAUUUGCCAGGUGAGAUACCCCACGAAAUCGCUAAUCUUCGAAAUCUAGAGGGUUUAGUGCUUGGAAUGAACAACCUAGUUGGUGUGUUACCAGCUCCAAUCUUCAACAUGUCAACACUGAAGGUACUUAUCCUCAUGGAUAACUCUCUCAGUGGAAGUCUACCAUCAAGAAUAGACCUUUCACUUCCAACUGUUGAGUUUCUUGAGUUGGCACAUAAUAGAUUUUCUGGAACCAUUCCUAGUUCCAUCACCAAUGCUUCUAAGCUCACCGUUCUAGCGUUGGGAGAGAACACAUUUUCGGGCUUCAUUCCAAACACAAUUGGUAAUUUAAAAAACCUUGAGUGGCUCAGCUUGGAGAAUAAUUACUUGAAAUCUUCAACCUCAAAAUUGAGCUUUCUUUCCUCUUUGGCAAAUUGCAAGAAAUUAAGAUUCUUAAACUUAGGAGGCAAUCCACUCGACGGUAUCCUUCCAAGUUCAAUAGGUAAUCUUUCUAAGUCUUUGGAAACACUUGUCAUCGCCAAUUGCAGUAUUAGUGGCAACAUUCCGGAAGCAAUUAGCAAUUUAAGCAACUUGUUGACCUUAGUAUUAGAACGCAAUAAAUUGACUGGACCAAUUCCAAUUACAUUCGGCCCACUACAGAAACUCCAAGGCUUAUAUCUUGCAUUCAAUAUGUUGGUAGGUUCAUUCCCAGAUGAGCUUUGCCAUCUAGGUAGGCUGAAUGAAUUGGUCUUAUUUGGCAAUAAGCUUUCAGGAUCUAUACCUUCAUGCUUAAGUAACCUCACUUCUCUGAAAUCUCUCUACUUAGGGUCCAAUAGGUUUACUUCUGUUAUUCCCUCAACCUUCUGGAGCCUAAAAUACAUCUUGUUCUUUGACUUUUCAUCAAAUUUCUUGGUGGGUCCUCUUUCUUCAGACAUAGGUAAUUUGAAGGUGCUUCUAGGAAUAAAUUUAUCAGAAAAUAACUUAUCGGGUGAUAUGCCAGCCACAAUUGGAGGACUAAAAAACCUUCAAAUUAUGGACCUAGCAUAUAAUAGAUUGGAAGGCCCAAUUCCUGAAUCAUUUGGUGACUUGACAAGUUUGGAGGUUUUGAAUUUGUCAAAUAAUAAAAUCUCCGGGUCUAUUCCAAAAUCCUUGGGGAAACUCUUUUACCUCCGAGAGUUAAAUCUCUCUUUCAAUGAACUAGAAGGUGAGAUUCCUAGUGGAGGAAUUUUUGCCAACUUCACAGCUGAGUCAUUUAUGGGAAAUGAGUUAUUGUGUGGUUUACCAAAUCUUCAAGUCCAACCAUGCAAAGUUAGCAAGCCGAGGACAGAACAUAAAUCAAGGAAAAAGAUACUUCUCAUUGUGAUUGUUUUGCCAUUGAGUAUUGCUCUAACGAUAGCAAUCACUCUAGCUCUCCAAUCUAAGCUGAUCGAAUGUGGAAAAAGAAGCACGGUGUUAUCAAAUGAUAGUAUCUUGUCAUCACAAGCAACACUAAGAAGAUUUUCAUACUUAGAACUUUUACGAGCAACAGAUAAUUUUGCUGAAAACAGCAUAAUUGGCAGAGGAGGUUUUGGUUCCGUUUAUGGAGCAAGACUUGAAGAUGGGAUGAAGAUUGCAAUAAAAGUGUUUCACCAGCAAUGUGCAAGCGCAUUGAAGAGUUUUGAGGCUGAAUGUGAAGUGUUAAAAAAUAUUCGCCAUCGAAACCUUAUCAAAGUUAUCAGCAGUUGCUCGAACGAUGACUUCAAAGCAUUAGUCCUAGAAUACAUGUCCAACGGGAGCUUGGGGGAUUGGUUGCAUUCGAGCAAUUACGUGCUGAAUAUUUUUCGAAGGUUGAACAUAAUGAUUGACUUUGCAUCAGCUUUAGAAUAUCUCCACUUCGAUCAUUCAACUCCUGUUAUUCAUUGUGACUUAAAGCCUAGUAAUGUAUUGUUGGACGAAAAUAUGGUUGCUCAUUUGAGUGAUUUUGGCAUAGCAAAGCUUUUAAGUGGAGAAGAUGAGUCUACGAUGCGAACAAAAACCCUUGCCACUAUAGGUUAUAUGGCACCAGGUUUGCUUCAAACAACUUUUUUUGUUGGUGCAUGUACCCUCCCUUUAAAAAAUAUAUAAUAAUUAAUACUUAAUAUAUUAUUAAAUACGAAAAUAUCAAUAUUUGACUACACAAAUUUAUGUCAUUAGGUCCUUAAAAUUUAAAAUUGAAGACACAAAAUGAAAUAUAUAUAUAAAUUUCAUUCUCAUAGGAAAUGAUCCUCUUAUAAUCUUAAAAUAUUUGAGCUUUGAAAGAUUUUUUAAAACAAAUGUACUUUUAUUUUUGUACAAUCAAUAUUUACUUAUUUAUUAUAUUUUUAUUCAUUAACUAUCAAUCAUGUGAGUAUAUUUACUCAGAAAUAUCAUAUCAAGGAAGAAUCUUGAUCCCACGCACACGCAAAUAUGUUAAUUUCUAUACGCUUCACUUACCUGUAGAAUCAAUUAUCUAAAAUGCAAGUUUGUGGCCACAAAAAAGGCCAAAGAAAGAAGAUAAUAACAAUUGACUUGUAUAUUAUACUCAUACAAUCCACUCGACAUAAUGAUAUCAUUUUAAUAAGGCAAUGGCUGAUGAUCUCCAUGACUCCAUUGAAAAACUAAUUCAAUUUUUUUUGCUUCAUUUAACUUUUUGGUUGUUGAAAAUAACCUUAAUUAUCAAAUAAUUGGAGAAAGAGUAAAGAACAUUUAAAAAAUUUAUGAGCAAAAAAAAAAGGAGAAGUUGAAGAGAAAGGGUGCUUGCAGAAGUGGGUGUCAAAGAAAAAUCAGUCCAUAAGAAUUAUUGCGGUUAUUUUUUGGCAAUAUAAAUUUUUUAUAGCAAGUAAAAAUUAAUUUUUUUCCGAUUUACUAAAAAAUUAACUAAAAACUUCUGCGACAACAUUUUUUAUGGGUGCAUAUAGCCUCCCUUUAAAAAAAUAAUAAUAAUUAAUGCUUAAUAUAGUAUUAAAUACGAAAAUGUCAAUAUUUGAUUACUCAAAUUUAUAUCAUUAGGUCCUUAAAAUUUAAAAUUAAAGAUACGAAAGGAAAUAUAUAUAAAUUUCAUUCUCAUGGAAAGGAUUCUCUUAUAAUUUUAUAAUAUUUGAGUUUUGAAAUUUUUUUGAAACAAAUGUAAUUUUAUUUGUGUACAAUCAAUAUUUACUCAUUUAUUAUAUUUUAAUUUAUUUAUUAUAUUUAGUCGGAAAAAUUAUAUCAAGAGAGAAUCCUAAUUUCACGCAAACACAAAUACAAGACAAAUAUGUUAAUUUCUAUACUAUUCACUUUCCUGUAGAAUCAAUUAUCUAAAAUGCAAGUUUGUGGCUACAGAAAACUCGCCAAAGAAAGAAGAUAAUAACAAUUGAGCAUUGAUAGCAAAACUAAUGCAUCAUUUUCUUCUUGACUUGAUGAGAUGGCGCCAUCACAAAAAAACAAGUACCUUAAUUGACGGGCACUGAGUGAUGUGAAUACUACCAGCCAGUUCAUCUCUUCCAGUCUUGCUUAAUCACAAUCACAAACACCUCGAGAUCGACAUUUGCAUUAUAUAUAUGUUCAGCAAUCGAAACACCUUGCAUUACCAAAUAAACCAGUAACAAACAAAGCAAUCUUUCAUGGAGAGAAACUUUAGUCUCAGUAUGAUCACUGUGUCAUUAACCCACUGCCUGCUUCUUUGCUUGGUUGUUGCAGCAGCAGCAGCAGCAGCAGCAAGCAACAAUAUUACCACAGACCAACAAGCUCUUCUUGCCCUGAAAGAUCAUAUAAUUUAUGAUCCGACCAACCUUUUAGCCCAUAAUUGGACCUCGAAUACCUCUGUUUGUACCUGGAUUGGCAUCACUUGUGAUGUCAAUAGCCAUAGAGUCACAGCCUUAGAUAUUUCUCAAUUCAAUCUACAAGGCACCAUCCCUCCUCAACUUGGAAACCUCUCUUCACUCACAACACUUAAUCUUAGUCAUAACAAGCUUUCUGGAAGCGUUCCCUCCUCCAUCUACACCAUGCAUAGGCUAAAAUUUCUUGACUUCACUGAUAACCAGCUCUCUGGUUCGGUGUCUUCCUUCGUCUUCAACAUGUCUUCAAUAUUAGACAUUCGUUUGACCAAUAACAGACUUUCUGGUGAGCUUCCGAAAAAUAUUUGCAACUAUCUUCCUCAUUUGAAAGCCCUUUUUUUGGACAAAAACAUGUUUCAUAGCAAAAUUCCUUCUGCUUUAUCAAAGUGCAAACAACUGCAACAAUUAAAUUUGCAGUUCAAUAAUUUAUCCGGUGCAAUACCAAAAGAAAUCGGCAACUUGACUAGGCUCAAAGGGAUAUAUCUCGGCGCCAACAAACUCCACGGUAUGUUCAUAAUACUAUGUAAAUAUUUUAAUUUCUCACUUGUUAUUUUUCUUGAAUACUUUAGAUAAGAUCAUGUAACGGAGAUUUUUUUGCAUCUAUGUUAAUUUGCCAGGUGAGAUACCGCACGAAAUCGCUAAUCUUCGAAAUCUAGGGGAUUUAGUGCUUGGAAUGAACAACCUAGUUGGUGUGUUACCAGCUCCAAUCUUCAACAUGUCAACACUGAAGGUACUUAUCCUCAUAAACAACUCUCUCAGCGGAAGUCUUCCAUCAAGAAUAGACCUUUCACUUCCAACGGUUGAGGUUCUUAUCUUGUCACUUAAUAGAUUUUCUGGAACCAUUCCUAGUUCCAUCACCAAUGCUUCUAAGCUCGCCUUGCUAGAAUUGGGAGUAAACACAUUUUCGGGAUUUAUUCCAAACACAAUUGGUAAUUUAAGAAACCUUGAGUGGCUCGGCUUGGGUAAUAACUACUUGACAUCUUCAACCUCAAAAUUGAGCUUUCUUUCCUCUUUGGCAAAUUGCAAGAAAUUAAGAGACAUAGGCUUAACAGGCAAUCCACUCAACGGUAUCCUUCCAAGUUCAAUAGGUAAUCUUUCCAUGUCUUUGAAAACACUUUACAUCGGCAAUUGCAGUAUUAGUGGCAACAUUCCUCAAUCAAUUGGCAAUUUAAGCAACUUAUUGGCCUUAGUAUUAGAAGUCAAUAAAUUGACUGGACCUAUCCCAACUACAUUCGGCCGACUGCAGAAACUCCAAGGCUUAUAUCUUGCAUUCAAUAAGUUGGUAGGUUCAUUCCCAGAUGAGCUUUGCCAUCUAGCAAGGCUGGAUCAAUUGGUCUUAUUUGGCAAUAAGCUUUCAGGAUCUAUACCUUCAUGCUUAAGUAAUCUCACUUCUCUGAGAUCUCUCUACUUAGGGUCCAAUAGGUUUACUUCUGUCAUUCCCUCAACUUUCUGGAGCCUAAAAGACAUCUUGUUCUUUGACUUUUCAUCAAAUUUCUUGGUGGGUCCUCUUUCUUCAGACAUAGGUAAUUUGAAGGUGCUUCUAGGAAUAAAUUUAUCAGAAAAUAACUUAUCGGGUGAUAUGCCAGCCACAAUUGGAGGACUAAAAAACCUUCAAAUUAUGGACCUAGCAUAUAAUAGAUUGGAAGGCCCAAUUCCUGAAUCAUUUGGUGACUUGACAAGUUUGGAGGUUUUGAAUUUGUCAAAUAAUAAAAUCUCCGGGUCUAUUCCAAAAUCCUUGGGGAAACUCUUUUACCUCCGAGAGUUAAAUCUCUCUUUCAAUGAACUAGAAGGUGAGAUUCCUAGUGGAGGAAUUUUUGCCAACUUCACAGCUGAGUCAUUUAUGGGAAAUGAGUUAUUGUGUGGUUUACCAAAUCUUCAAGUCCAACCAUGCAAAGUUAGCAAGCCGAGGACAGAACAUAAAUCAAGGAAAAAGAUACUUCUCAUUGUGAUUGUUUUGCCAUUGAGUAUUGCUCUAACGAUAGCAAUCACUCUAGCUCUCCAAUCUAAGCUGAUCGAAUGUGGAAAAAGAAGCACGGUGUUAUCAAAUGAUAGUAUCUUGUCAUCACAAGCAACACUAAGAAGAUUUUCAUACUUAGAACUUUUACGAGCAACAGAUAAUUUUGCUGAAAACAGCAUAAUUGGCAGAGGAGGUUUUGGUUCCGUUUAUGGAGCAAGACUUGAAGAUGGGAUGAAGAUUGCAAUAAAAGUGUUUCACCAGCAAUGUGCAAGCGCAUUGAAGAGUUUUGAGGCUGAAUGUGAAGUGUUAAAAAAUAUUCGCCAUCGAAACCUUAUCAAAGUUAUCAGCAGUUGCUCGAACGAUGACUUCAAAGCAUUAGUCCUAGAAUACAUGUCCAACGGGAGCUUAGGGGAUUGGCUGCAUUCGAGCAAUUACGUGCUGAAUAUUUUUCAAAGGUUGAACAUAAUGAUUGACGUUGCAUCAGCUUUAGAAUAUCUCCACUUUGAUCAUUCAACUCCUAUUAUUCAUUGUGACUUAAAGCCUAGUAAUGUAUUGUUGGAUGAAAAUAUGGUUGCUCAUUUGAGUGAUUUUGGCAUAGCAAAGCUUUUAAGUGGAGAGGAUGAGUCUACGAUGCGAACAAAAACCCUUGCCACUAUAGGUUAUAUGGCACCAGGUUUGCUUCAAACAACUUUUUUUUAAAGUUCAUUUUAAAUUUUCCAACUUAUUGAUUUUUACAAUCCUCAUAUCAAAAUGUUAUUGAUUAUUUAUCUAAUUGUGAAAUUAAUUUGAUUAAUAGAGUACGGCAUUGAAGGAGAAGUAUCUACAAAAAGUGAUGUUUACAGCUAUGGGAUUAUGUUGAUGGAAACUUUUACCAAGAAAAAACCCACAGAUGAAAUUUUUGUUGGGGAAUUGAGCUUAAAGCGUUGGGUUAAUGACUUGCUUCCUACUUCAUUAGUGGAAGUUGUGGACAAAACUCUGCUAAGUGGAGAGGAAAAACAUUCUGCAGCAAAGGAGCAAUGUCUGUUGUCUAUCUUUAGUUUGGCUCUGGAGUGUACAAUGGAAUCACCGGAAAAGAGGAUUAAUGCAAAAGAUAUUGUUACUAGAUUACUCAAGAUAAGAGACACAUUGAGUAAAAGGAUCGGAAAUUUAAGUUAAUUUCGUUUGCUUUCAUUGAUAGUUAAUCUGAAUUCAUGUAAUAAGUGUAGGAAUCUUAUAUCUUUUCCUUUCAUAUAUUUUUUUUUCUUGAGAAAACUGUUGUAGUCAUCUUGUUUCCAUGGACAGAGUUGAUUUAGUUCUUCCAAAAAAUGCUACUGAUGACCUUUGUUUAAUACUUUCUCUUUUUUUGCAUGUGUUUAGGUAGAACAGUGGUUUGGCUGCAGGCUAAGAAGUCUAACUACACUAAAAGAAUAUGAUUUAAUUUAUUAAACAAAACUUCAAGUUCAAGAAAAGUAUUUCACUGCCCCCAAUGCUUUGGACACCUACUUGUUGCGGACCGCCCAAUUCGCUAGCCCAAUUGCCCACAAUUUCGGGCUAGAGAGCCAACACAAGGCCAAGAGUGCUAGCUUGGCCCAAUUCCGAAAGGUUCUAGGCAACUCUAGCACAUGUGAACAUGUAAAUAUUCUAGAAUACUUUAUACAAUUCCAGCACAUGCAAAUAGCUAGGAAAUUGUAAAAUACUCUAGAGUUUGACCAAGUUUGGCAAAGUUAGGCAAAGUUAGGCAAAGCCUCCCCUAUAAAUAUGGGAUGGCAUUAGGCAUUUGUAUCCAAAAAGCUUUGUAAGCAACUUAAGCAUUGUAUUCUCUCUUUGUGCAAUACAAGUUUUCUUCUUUGGCUCAAUUGCUCUCUUCUCUAGUUCGAGAAGCUCUAGGCUUACUUAGCAACAUUCGGCAAAGUUGUCUAAGUGCCGCACGGGUUAGCUGCGCAAAACACUCAUCUCGUGACAAGUGGUAUCAGAGCUAAGGUUUGCACGCACGCAAAUUAGCUCACGAAGCAAUGGCCAACCCUUCGAACGUAGCACAAGAGGGUGUUGUUGGUGUGGAUGUUCCACCGGAACUAAGCCGUGGCCGAGAGGGAGAACGUGCCCAAGGCAAGACUCGCGGCAAGUCCAAGGCCCUAUCCGUGGAUGCGUUGGAGCCUCGUGUAGGCACUCUCGAAAUCGCAUUGUCCACCGCUCAAGAAAGCCUCGAGGGAUUGGAGGAACGAGUGGACGGACUCGAGGGAGAAUACGCCGAAUUCACGGUGGCAACCAAAGCUCUCAUCCAAGAACAAGCAAACACUCUUCGAGGUGAGUGUUCAAGACGAACUACGCGCUGUCCGUGCGGAAGUGGAUGAAGUCCGCUCGGAUUGGGCAUGGCACAAGCGCACACUCUCCUCAAGUCCAGCUUCCGCAAACUCGAGUGAUGCGCGCCGCAUUGACGUGCCAAAGCCCGACACCUACGAUGGCACACGCAAUGCCACAAUCGUGGAUAAUUUCCUCUUUGGUCUGGAUCAAUACUUUAAUGCCAUGGGUGUACGAGAUGAGGCAUCGAAAGUGGGCACUGCACCCACCUAUCUUAGAGGCGCUGCACAACUAUGGUGGCGUCGCAAACAUGGCGAGAUGGGCAAGGGCAUUUGCACCAUCGACAUUUGGUCCGACUUCAAGCAAGAACUCCGAAAGCAGUUCGCCCCAAGCAAUGCGGAGAAGGAAGCGCGAGCGCGCUUACGUCGCCUCAAGCAAUCGGGUAGCAUUCGGGACUACAUCAACGAGUUCACUACCCUUAUGUUGGAGAUAAGCGACAUGUCCAACAAGGAUUCACUCUUCUACUUCCAAGAUGGCCUCAAGGAUUGGGCCAAAACCGAGCUUGAUAGGCGUGGUGUUCAAACACUUGACGACGCCAUCGCCAUUGCGGAAUCGCUCACCGAAUACUCUACCCAAUCCAAAGACAAGAAGUCUAGCCAAGGCAAAGGUGGGGGAGAGAGUCGUAAGGACAAGGGCAACAACCGCAAAGAUUGGGGGCAGAAAAAGCCGCCUAGCAACAAGAGCUGGCAGGGAAAAUCGGAGGGCAAGAAGGAGGCGCCAAAGCCACGAAGCCCAUGCUUCAUAUGCAAUGGUCCUCAUUGGGUACGCGACUGUCCGGAGAAGCGGUCGCUUAAUAUUCUUGCUGCCCAACUCAAGAGCAACCCCACAAUGUCCGUGGAGGAACCCCAACUUAGCAUGGGUUCUCUCCAACGCCUCGGCGCCCUCAACCGCCAACAGCCCGCGCUAGUCAAGAAAGGGCUCAUGUAUGUUAGCGCAAAGGUAAACAGCCAGUCCGUUCGCGCGUUGCUAGACACGGGAGCAACACACAAUUUCGUGUCCGUAGAUGAGGCCAAGCGUUUAGGCCUCAAGGCCACCAAGGAAUGAGGCACAAUGAAGGCAGUAAACUCACCCGCCAAGCCAAUUGCGGGAAUUGCACAAGGCGUACACAUCACACUUGGUACGUGGAGCGGAAAGCUUGACUUCUCCAUCCUGCCCAUGGACGACUUCAAGAUGGUCCUGGGCAUGGAAUUCUUCGACCAAGUCUAUGCCUUCCCGCUGCCUACUACGAACUCCCUAAGCAUCCUCGAUGGGAGUAAAGCAUGCAUGGUACCCACGGAGCGAGGCAAGUCCGAGGAGAAGACACUCUCCACCAUGCAAUUCAAAAGGGCUUUCAAGAAGGACCCAAGCUUCUUGGUCUCCAUUCGGGAACUAAAUGAGGAAAGAAAUAGCGGAACGUCGCCAAGCCAAGUCCCUCCGCAAAUAUACAGAGUCCUCAAUGAGUACGAGGAUGUGAUGCCUCCAGAACUUCCGAAGAAGCUCCCACCUCGACGAGAGGUAGAUCAUGCGAUCGAGCUAGAACAAGGCGCGAAGCCAACAGCCUUGGCGCCCUACCGUAUGGCGCCAUCUGAAUUAGAGGAGUUGCGGAGACAACUCAAAGACUUGCUGGACGCAGGCUACAUUCGCCCCUCAAAGGCCCCAUUCAGUGCACCCGUGCUCUUCCAAAAGAAAAAGGAUGGAUCGCUGCGGAUGUGCAUCGACUAUAGAGCGCUCAACAAGAUCACUAUCAAGAACAAGUAUCUGAUUCCCGUGAUUGCGGACUUGUUCGACCAGCUUGGCAAAGCGCGGUACUUCACCAAACUUGACUUGCGCUCCGGGUAUUAUCAAGUGCGCAUCGCCAAGGGAGAUGAACCGAAGACAGCGUGCACAACAAGGUACGGGUCUUUCGAAUUCCUUGUGAUGCCUUUUGGUCUUACUAAUGCACCCGCCACAUUUUGCACGCUCAUGAACAAGGUGCUCCAACCAUUCCUCGACUGCUUCGUGGUCGUGUACUUGGAUGACAUAGUGGUGUAUAGCACCACGCUCGAGGAUCAUGCCCGACAUUUGCGACAAGUCCUCCAAGUACUUCGAGACAACGAGCUCUUCCUCAAACUAGAGAAGUGCUCGUUUGCCCAACAAGAAGUGGAGUUCCUUGGCCAUAAGAUUGCGGGUGGGAAGAUCAUGAUGGAGAAUGACAAAGUAAAGGUCAUCCUCGAUUGGGAGCCUCCCUCGAAAGUACCCGAACUUCGCUCAUUCCUUGGACUGGUGAAUUACUACCGCCGCUUCAUCAAGGGCUAUUCAGCUAAGGCGGCACCCUUGACGAAUAUGCUCAAGAAAAACAGAACAUGGCAUUGGUCCGAAGAGUGCCAACGCGCAUUCGAGGAGUUGAAAAGAACAAUUUCGGAGGAACCCGUCCUCGCUCUUCCGGACCACACAAAGCCCUUCGAAGUGCAAACGGAUGCCUCGGAUUUCGCCAUAGGAGGAGUCCUUAUGCAAGAAGGCCACCCUAUAGCGUUCGAGAGUCGAAAGCUAAAUGAUACAGAACGCCGCUACACGGUGCAAGAAAAGGAGAUGACCGCAAUCAUACAUUGCUUGCGGGUGUGGCGACAUUACUUGCUUGGCUCGUACUUCACGAUUAUGACGGAUAACGUGGCGACAAGCUACUUUCAAACUCAGAAGAAGUUGAGUCCGAAGCAAGCACGGUGGCAAGAUUUCCUUGCGGAAUUCGACUACCGGCUGGAGUACAAACCGGGGAAAGCCAAUGUCGUUGUGAACGCUCUAAGCCGCAAGGCCGAAUUGGCGACACUUAGCAUGAGCCAACCAAAGUCUGACCUUGUCUCACGCAUCAAGGAAGGCCUCCAACAAGAUCCGCUAGCCAAGGAUUUGCUGGAGAAGGUGCUCGAGGGAAAGACAAGACGAUUUUGGCAAGAGGAAGGCAUCCUCCUCACCAAGGGAGAUCGGCUAUUCGUGCCAAGGUGGGGAAACUUGCGGAAGGAAGUAAUCAAGGAGUGCCACGACUCUAAGUGGGCCGGUCACCCAGGAAUCGAGCGCACCACCGCACUAGUUCAAGCCUCGUAUUUUUGGCCGCACAUGAGGGACGACAUCGAGGCAUAUGUGCGAACUUGUCUUGUGUGCCAACAAGACAAAGUGGAUCAUCAACUUCCAGCGGGAUUGUUGGAGCCGUUACCACUAGCAACAAGGCCAUGGGAAAGUGUCUCCAUGGAUUUCAUCACAUCGCUGCCCAAGUCCGAAGGUUGUGGAAGCAUCAUGGUCGUUGUCGACCGAUACAGCAAAUAUGCCACAUUCAUUGCCGCACCAGCCGAUUGCAAAGCGGACGAGGCAGCCCGCCUAUUCGUCAAGCACAUUGUGAAGCUUUGGGGAGUUCCGAAGAGCAUUGUGAGCGACCGAGACCCUCGAUUCACUGGACGCUUUUGGACGGAACUCUUCAAAAUGUUGGGGACCGAUCUCAAGUUCUCGACAAGCUUCCACCCACAAACGGAUGGGCAGACCGAGCGCAUUAAUGGCCUCCUCGAGAUGUACCUGAGGCAUUAUGUGAGCGCUCACCAGCGGGAUUGGGCGAAGCUACUCGACAUUGCCCAAUUUUCUUAUAACUUGCAGCGAAGUGAGGCUACGGGCAAGAGUCCAUUCGAGAUCAUCAUGGGAUUUCAGCCCAUGACCCCCAAUGCCAUAGCCUCGACUUACGGAGGGAAAAGCCCCGCGGCACACAAGCUCGCCCGCGAAUGGCAUGAGGAAGCGGACAUCACGCGAGCCUAUCUCGACAAAGCCGCGAGGAAAAUGAAGAAAUGGGCUGAUACAAGGAGACGGCAUGUUGAGUACAAGGAAGGAGAUCAAGUCAUGAUCAAGCUCCUACCCCAACAAUUCAAGACUUUGCGGAAAGUUCACAAGGGGUUAGUGAGGUGCUACGAGGGAUCCUUCCGAGUUGUUCGACGUGUAGGCAACGUCUCGUAUCAACUCCAACUUCCGCCAAGACUCAAGAUCCAUCCGGUCUUCCAUGUGAGCCUUCUCAAGCCAUAUCAUGAAGACAUGGGAGAACCAAGUCGCGGAGAAUUGAGGCGCGCGCCAACUGCCGUUGUCACCGCGUUCGACAAAGAUGUGGACUACAUCAUUGCGGACCGAACGGUUUCGAGGAGGGGCGUGCCAGCACAUAGCGAGUACUUGGUGAAAUGGAAAAACCUCCCCGAGAGCGAAGCCACUUGGGAACGGGAAGAUGAUUUGUGGCAAUUCGCUGAGCACAUCCAGCACUUCAAGCACGAGAGCGCGACGAGGACGCCGCGAGCUUAGGUGGGGGAGGAUGUUGCGGACCGCCCAAUUCGCUAGCCCAAUUGCCCACAAUUUCGGGCUAGAGAGCCAACACAAGGCCAAGAGUGCUAGCUUGGCCCAAUUCUGGAAGGUUCUAGGCAACUCUAGCACAUGUGAACAUGUAAAUAUUCUAGAAUACUUUAUACAAUUCCAGCACAUGCAAAUAGCUAGGAAAUUGUAAAAUACUCUAGAGUUUGACCAAGUUUGGCAAAGUUAGGCAAAGUUAGGCAAAGUUAGGCAAAGCCUCCCCUAUAAAUAUGGGAUGGCAUUAGGCAUUUGUAUCCAACAAGCUUUGUAAGCAACUCAAGCAUUGUAUUCUCUCUUUGUGCAAUACAAGUUUUCUUCUUUGGCUCAAUUGCUCUCUUCUCUAGUUCGAGAAGCUCUAGGCUUACUUAGCAACAUUCGGCAAAGUUGUCUAAGUGCCGCACGGGUUAGCUGCGCAAAACACUCAUCCCGUGACAUACUGGUAGGUAUGUACGUGUCCUCAACUUUUUUUCGGAGCACAAAAUUCGAGUCCCAUGGAGACUCAAACAUUCCUUUCCCACAUCCCGAGCACGCUAAAUUCAUCAGACUAACAACUGUGACAUAUACAAGAGUGAAAUGUUUAGAGAACGCUAAGUACUAUGAAAGAGAUUAGUUUACGAAAACUGAAGCCAAGGGUUCAUAAAAAAGUGCAAAGAGAAUAAAGGACAACGCUUAUGUAAAGCGACAUAGUUGUAUUCAUAGCACAAUGUCAUAUUCAUACAGAGAUCUAGAAUAUUAUUUACAGCUGGUAAGGGCUAAGAAUUGAUGUAGCUAGAAUACAAAGACGAUAAGGUAUGUUGUGCACUAUUGUUUUAUUCUACGAUCAAUCUUGACCCUUGAUGCUUGGCUCUCAAUCUUGUCCAUUGAUCUUCUUUGAUUUUGGACACUUCAAGACCUUUCAGUAUCAUUCCUUGUUAUUGGUGUCUUCCGUGCUGUAGAAUUCAUAUACAAGCCUUCCCGCCGACUUGCCAAUUAUUUGUUCAUUGGUGCGUUUUGUCAAGCAGUGUGGAUACUUAUACCAAACGCUUUCUGUUUUAACUCCCCCUUUCAAGCUCAACUAUCUGGGAAGACACUAAUAAGCUUGUUUCUCAAGUAUAUGUAUGUGAAAAUUAAAAUUUCAAAAUAAUAUUCGGACUCUACAUUUUCUAAUGAACAUUGGUUUGGCUCAUAAGCUUAUUAUACUUGGGCUUGGUAGGAUUAUCGGUCGGUAGAUGAACAAGUGUUAGAGCUUUCGAAUUUAUGCCAAUUAAAAAAAAAAAAAUCUAUAUAAAUUUUCCACUAGGCUAUUACCACAAUAAACAUUUGGAUGAACUAUUAUUGAAACCUUAUUGAGAAGUAGGACAUGUCGCAUACCAAUGCACUGACAUAUCUUCAAAUAGUGGUAACUCCACACAACAUGGCACAAUAAAUUAAGAGUUAUAUAGAUAAAAUCUUUCACUCUUUGGUAAUCAUCAAUGUCGGCAUGGCAAUGCGUCCGACAAAAUUCAUAAAUCAAAACAAAAAUAGAGAAUCAUAUUUGUUCCAGAUUGUAGUGAUGGUUGUUGAUGCACUCACAAUUUACAAUUUUAUUUAAUAUCUUCACAUUCGCAUUUUAAAAUGCACAAAUGUUUGUGUAUACAUAAUUAGUAAUCGAUUCUCAAGCAUGGACAUUUAAAAGCACUGCUGAAAGACAAAAUUUUAAUUUACUAUUUUUUGUCUUUUAAUUUUCUUUAAGUUUUAAUGAUUCCGCAUUUUGGCGAAGGAAUUGCAACCGCAUUUGGAGCUAGUUUUAAUUUUGUCUUUUAAUUCUUUUACACUUGGCUUUUGUUAUUGAUGUUAACUUCGAUGUGUGUGCGUGUGCGACUGAAUUCAACUUACACGCUAUUGAUGCAGCCACCAAAAAGGGGUGGUCCAUCAUCAAUCAACAAGGUUUAUUAUUAUUUCCAUAUUGAUUUUCUUAAUUAUAAAUAAUACUAAUGCUAUUUCAUAGUUAUAAAUAUAUUAGAAUUAAUCGAAAUCAUUUUUUAGUGUGGCAUGGCUAAAACUACCUUUUUUUUUUAUAAGUAAUUACUACUUUCACAUUAAGAAAAAAUACUCCUAUUUUUAAGGAAAAGUCAAGUACCUGUAGUUGUGAAGACUCGAGCUCACUCCCUUAUGAUAAAUCUUCAUAUUAAUUACGUAAAUAUCCUCUAAAAUUUUAAAUUAACUAUUCAAAAUUCGAUGUUAUACAGGUAUUUCAUUUAUUUGAGUAGGGGUUAGGGGUCAAUUGGAUACAAAUUCAAAAUUAUCCUUACUUGAGAAGGUGAUAAAAAUUGGGGAUUUAGUUUGGAUGUCAUUAGCUACAAAUAUUAAACUCAUACAUUUAAUUCAAAAUUAGAGGGCUGAUAUAUGCGCAUCAUCGUGCACGUUAUAGUGACACUGCGUCACCAUUCCACAACCUCUCCAAUGAAAAAUUGACAUGCUUCUUGUGCGCAUCUAAUCAGAAUCUUGAAAAUUAAUCACAAAAUUGUACUUUUAUUAUAAAAAGAAUAAAGAAACUCCAAGAAAAAAAAAAGACUUACAUAAAUAGAUUGAAAAAUCUAGAUUUCAAGUUGUCUAUAUUAGCUUGAUAUUUUUAUUAAUAGUCAUCCUCCCAAAAAAAUUCCAUCAAAAUAUAUUUUAAUUUUAUGUUAAUUCAUAAACAUGAAAAAAUCAUUUUAGAAUUAAUUAAAACAUAAUUUAUUGUUGCUCAAAAAAGGUAGAACUUAGUGAUCAGAAAAAAAGUAUCUAAAAUAUAUGUUAAAAAAAAUCAUGGUUGGUUAGACUGAUUGAAUUUUUUUUCUUUUUUAAGAAUUAAGACAAUUGGAUGGAUUCAGUAAUAAUAAUACAUAUUUAUUUGGCAAAUGGCAGGGAGGCUUUCGUCUGAUGCAGAUUGAUUAGAGAGAAAAUAUAACAAUUUUAAGCUCGUCAGAUUCGAAGCUGCUUACCUGUCGUGGGGGGAUCACUUCCGGUGCAUGUUGUCGUGUUAAAUUCUCGUUGACUUCACGUUGACUGAAGCAUUAUUGGAAGAAACAAGUUUAUUGAUGUGAGGCCUUUGAGAUUGUAAGUGUUAAAUCUGAGAAGAAUACCCACACACCCAUUAUCCUAUUACUCUUCUAUCACAUGAAGAGAAUUCAACAUUUGAUUCACACGGAAAAAAAAUUUGUGAGGAUUGUGAGGGUUGAUGGAAUAUAAUUUAGAUACAAAGUGUUUACCAGUGCGAUGCUUCGCAAGUGUUCUUGAAUCAAUAUAAACUCACAUUAUUUUCAUAGCGAUUGUUUCAUCUGCACGUGGAUAUAAUCACAUGUCGAGAUUUUUUUCCUUAAAUUAUGAUCUUAUUUAGUAUUGAGGUGUUAUAUCUUUUAAGGUACAAUUAUUGUUGGAAAAAAGUUGCAACUAUCAAAUAAAAUUAAUACUAUGUGCUAAAUAUAAUUGUUAAAUAAUAAUUUUGACAAAAUUAGUGAAGUUAUAUAGAUUUUUUUUCAUCAUCCAAGUAUAAAAUCAAAUCAACUUAACUUCUAAGUUCUAUAUCGGCUACUGUUUAUCAUAUGUUUUAGUUCUGUAACUUUUAAAUUAUAGUUACCCAACCUCAAUUCUAAACAAGACCUAUAACGAUAAAAAAUUUCCUCAUUAAAUUAUAUGUCUUGUGAUUGCUUAUUUAAUUUAUAUUUUUGUUAUUUAUCUUUAUUAAUUAUAAUCAUCUUUUUAUAAAUUAAAAUUGAAGGAAGUUGAUUGAUGUUGUUGACACACACACACGCACGCACACACUCGCAAAGAUAUAUUGGAAGUGCUUACGUCGACUCGAAGUUGUUGGGAAUUAAUGCAUGUAUUGAUUUAUUGGGAGUGUUUAAAUUGAUUUAUUAAUUGAAUAUUGUUUGAUUGCUUCAUAUCCAUUCUAGAAAGUUUAUUUCUUUGUGAAAUUUCAACGAAAUAUGUUUUUUUUUUUAAAUAAGGGUGUUCUAAAUCAUUUUAAAAAAUAUAUGGACUAAUUAGAAUUAAUUAUUAGGUAAUUAACUCAAUUUGUACAGGGUGAAACAACAUUUAUCCUAAUUAUAUCAUGAUAAAUACUUUUUUGAUUAGAAUUAGGAAAUCAUAGGUUUAUUGAAUUGUUUUUUUUUUCCUUUGCGGAAAUGGAUUAGAGAAUUAGAAAACAAUCAUGUUGAUGUCAAAAUCUGAUCUAGUCGGUUAGCGACUUAAUAUCAUAUUACUGCACCAGCAUUAAAUUUAUUUGGUAGAGAAUUGGCUGGUCAAUUGUCAAGAUGUCCUGCAAUCACUAGCGAUUAACCUACGAAUACCUGAAAUCACAAAAGACGGUAAGAGGCACUAGAAAUUUUUUCGGCGUGAACCUUCUGACGCUCAAGUCAGUUUAUAGGUUUACCAUAAUAAAAAUAAAUAAUUUCUAUUUAAAACAAAAAAUAAAGUUCAAAAGCUCAAAAAUAAAACCCAAUCCCAAUAUGAAAAUGAAUUUCUUUUUUUUUUUUAGCUUGGCCGAAUCCUUCUGCCUCCUAAAGAAACAUAAUAGAGAAGCAGGUAGCCAUGUUCCCUAGGUAACGCCCCACUCCCCUCUUUUAUUCCUCCCCCUCUCUUCCGUUUCCUUCUUUUGCUCACUAUCCUUUAUAAUUUUUUAUGCUUGUCUUCCCAAAAUAGCCUUUGAAUACACAAGUAAAUGUCUAGGCUUUGGUGAGGAUAGUUUGGUCAUUGCAUUUUACAAGUAAGAUGAGUGGUGGAGAAAAAUGAGGAGUGCACAUAACUCUUCAGCAAAUCCCACCAACAAUUCCAUUUUCUUAAUUAAUUAAUCUCCUUUUUUAUCCCCAAACAAAUCCUAAUGAUACUCUUAUCAGGUUUAAAACAGUACACAAAUAGUGAAAAGCUAACUAGUCUGUAGAGUAAUUUGCUAAUUGCUAUCUCCUCUCUACGCGCGCUGAAUAAUUUGUUGCAUGCAAACUUUUUAUUUUAUGCAAAUCGUACGUACUGUAACAUUGGAAUUGAUGGAUAAGCAAAAAUACAAUAAUAUUUAUGCCAAUAAAAAUAGUUUUUUUUCCUUUUUAAAUAAACACAACGCGAUGUUGCUCUGCUCUACAUUUUUGCUAUCUCUUUAUUCUUUUUUUUUUUUUGGGCUUCUUAAAGCCUCAAACUUUGACAACCAAAACUUCAUCGACCUAUGAAAAAAUCUGCAGAUUAGUUUUUAUUAUCGGAAUAAUUGUUUGAGAAUACUAAAACAAAAUAUAAAAUAAGAAAAUAGGGGGUUAAAUUAGAGGGGGAAAAAAGCCAUGUUCUAUCGAUUACUAUAGUUUAAGAAAACAAAAUCCAAUUGGGAAUUUUUUUCUUUAAUUUUUGUUUUACUUGAUUGAGAUUUCUCCUUAGUCCUUACAGUUUUAAGUUUGGAUGCCGUAGGGUUAGUAAUUUAGUACUUCCUUUGCAAGCUGAGGGCAAGAAUGAAAAUCUUUAAAGAAAUUAAAAAAGAUUAAAAAAAAGCAUACCAAUAGGUAAUUAUAAAUAACCAUAAAUAAACAUAAACAAAAUAUUUAUGAAGUAAAUUACACAUGCACAUAUUAUUUUUUUGUUUUAUUUCUUACUUGUCUAUUUUAUUUGUCUAUUUUAUUUGCUGCUUGAUAACCCGUAAAUACUAAUCUAGUACUGCUAAUUUCAGACACAAAAUUUUUAACUCUAGGCUGCAGUUUUGCUCAAAAUGAUGACCACUGGCUUCGCACCAUUUAACCGGCAUACAUUUCUACAAAUUGAACAAGGCUAUUGAUUUUCAUUAUUAUUUUUUAUUUAUUUAUAAAUUACUAUUUUAAUUUUCACUUUUUAUUGGGUUGUUUACAAUUUUAUUUUAUAAUUUCAAAUUUGUAUUUUAAAAUGCAGGUACAUUAUGUAUACAUAAUUAUUGAUUUUCAUAUGUGGGUGUUUUGAAAUAUUGCUAAAAGACCAAACUUAAUAAACUAUUUUUCAUCUUUUUUUCCCUUUUUUCCUAAAGGUUGAGUGAUAUCCGCAUUUUAAAUUCAUGUGGAACAAAAGCUAAUGAAUGCACAAAAUUAUUUUAUUUUUUCCGAGAAAAAUGGGUAAGAGAAGAAGAUUUUUCUCUUGAAAAAGAAAAACUAAUACGAUGCAAACAUAGGAAAGAGGUCAGUGUUUUGGAUUAGAAUUUAUUAUUGACCUGAAUUUUAUACUAAACUCUUUUAUAGUACUGCGAUUAAUGAACUCAUGAUUUGCUUUUGCUUUUACUUCAAGUGAAAGAAAGAGGAAACCUUUUGUUUUUUGUUUGAUUCUUGACUAUAGAUGUUACCUAUAUAGAGAGUUGAGGUAGCUGCCUUAAGUGAUGGUGAUAAAAAGAUUAAGCAGCGCACAAAAUCUGACUGUCGUCCAGACCAUCCAGCUGUGAUGGCUCUAGUUUUUUGGUUACAUUAGCUUUAGUGGAAAGGAGGGCCAAUUUAACAAAGACUAGAUUUGGUGGCUUACUAUAAUGCUUAUUCUCAAGGAAUCUAAUGUUAUAAGAUGAUUUAAUGAUCUUCUAUGAUUGUGAGUAGUAUAGUAUAAUUGAAAAGAGCCUGGGCUCCUAUGAUGAAUAUUUAAUAGUAACACAAUAUUGUGAUUGAAAAAAACACUGUUACAAUAAACUCUUCAUUUAUUCAUUGCGGAUAUUGAAUGGCAAACAGAGAAUAAAAUGAAGCAGAGGAAUCUCAUUGCUAGUAAAAUUGACCCUCUUUAAUGUUAUAUGGCACAGGUGUGUGUACAGCAAGAGCAAGUGACUUGCAGUUUUUUUUUGUAAAAUAUACAGGUUAUGACCAUGAUCAUUGUAGUUAGGUUUUGAUGAUUUUAGAUGCUUUUUUAUUUUUUUUAAAUUGUGACACCUUUGAUUUAUGGUAGUUUUGCAGAAGAAAAAAAUAUAUAUAAAAAUUAGGAAGAAUGAGUUAACUAACAAUUGCAAUCAUUACAACAAUGUUGAUGAGUGAUACAUCAUUUGAAAUUUACAUGUCAGUUGCUAAAAUGAUGAAAAAAAACAAUAAACAAUAGCAGUAAUAUUUUUAUGGAAAUUCUUGGUUUUUAUGGAAAUACUCUUGCUGAAAUUCUAAUUUUGACUUUCAACUCUUGGUUUUUAUGGAAAGUAAAAUGACUUGUUUGUUAUAUUCAUACAAUCCACUCUACAUAAUGAUUUCAUUUUUAAUAAAUGCUUGAUGAUCUCCACUGAAAAACUACUUCAAUUCUUUUGUUUUAUUUAACUUUUUGGUUGUUGAAAAUAGCCUUAAUUUUCAAAUAAUUGGAGAAAGAGUAAAGAACAUUUAACAAAUUUAUGUGCCAAAAAUAAAGGAGAAAUUGAAGAGAAAGGGUGCUUGCAGAAGUGGGUGCAAAGAUAAAUCAGUCUAUAAGAAUUAUUGUGGUUAUUAAUUUUUUGGCAAUAUAAAAAUUCUUCAGCAAAUAAAAAUUGAUUUUUUUCCGAUUUACUAAAAAAUUAAUUAAAAAAUUCGGCCACAGCAUUUUUUAUGGGUGCAUAUACCCUCCCUUUAAAAAAAAAUAAUAAUUAAUGCUUAAUAUAGUAUUAAAUACCAAAAUAUCAAUAUUUGGCUACUCAAAUUUAUAUCAUUAGGUCCUUCAAAUUUAAAAUUGAAGAUACAAAAGGAAAUAUAUAUAAAUUUCAUUCUCAUGGAAAGGAUUCUCUUAUAAUCUUAUAAUAUUUGAGUUUUGAAAUUUUUUGAAACAAAUGUAAUUUUAUUUGUGUACAAUCAAUAUUUACUUAUUUAUUAUAUUUUAAUUUGUUAACUAUCAAUCAUUUAAGUAUAUUUGGUCAGAAAAAUUAUAUCAAGAGAGAAUCCUAAUUUCACGCAAACACAAAUACAAGAUAAAUAUGUCAAUUUCUAUACUAUUCACUUUCCUGUAGAAUCAAUUAUCUAAAAUGCAAGUUUGUGGCUACAGAAAACUAAUGCAUCAUUUUCUUCUUGAUUUGAUGAGAUGACGCCAUUACAAAAAAAUAAGUACCUUAAUUGACGGGCACUGAGUGAUGUGAAUACUACCAGCCAGUUCAUCUCUUCCAGUCUUGCUUAAUCACAAUCACAAACACCACGAGAUUGACAUUUGCAUUAUAUAUAUCUUCAGCAAUCGAAACACCUUGCAUUACCAAAUUAACCGGUAACAAACAAAGCAAUCUUUCAUGGAGAGAAACUUUAGUCUCAGUAUGAUCACUGUGUCAUUAACCCACUUCCUGCUUCUUUGCUUGGUUGUUGCAGCAGCAGCAGCCGCAAGCAACAAUAUUACCACAGACCAACAAGCUCUUCUUGCCCUGAAAGAUCAUAUAACUUAUGAUCCAACCAACCUUUUUGCCCAUAAUUGGACCUCGAAUACCUCUGUUUGUACCUGGAUUGGCAUCACUUGUGAUGUCAAUAGCCAUAGAGUCACAGCCUUAGAUAUUUCUCAAUUCAAUCUACAAGGCACCAUCCCUCCUCAACUUGGAAACCUCUCUUCACUUACAACGCUUAAUCUUAGUCAUAACAAGCUUUCUGGAGACGUUCCAUCCUCCAUCUACACCAUGCAUUCGCUAAAAUUUCUUGACUUCACUGAUAACCAGCUCUCUGGUUCAGUGUCUUCCUUCGUCUUCAGCAUGUCUUCAAUAUUAGAAAUUCUUUUGACCAAUAACAGAUUUUCUGGUGAGCUUCCGAAAAAUAUUUGCAACUAUCUUCCUUAUUUGAAAGCCCUUUUCUUAAACAAAAACAUGUUUCAUGGCAAAAUUCCUUCUGCUUUAUCAAAGUGCAAACAACUGCAACAAUUAAAUUUGCAGUUCAAUAAUUUAUCCGGUGCAAUACCGAAAGAAAUCGGCAACUUGACUAUGCUCAAAGGCAUAUAUCUCGAAUACAACAAACUCCACGGUAUGUUCAUAAUACUAUGUAAAUGUUUUAAUUUCUCACUUGUUAUUUUCUUGAAUACUUUAGACAAGAUCUCGUAAGGGAGAUAUUUUUGGAUCUGUGUUAAUUUGCCAGGUGAGAUACCCCACGAAAUCGCUAAUCUUCGAAAUCUAGAGGAUUUAUUGCUUGGAAUGAACAACCUAGUUGGUGUGUUACCAGCUCCAAUCUUCAACAUGUCAACACUGAAAUUAUUUGACCUCAUAAAUAACUCUCUCUCCGGAAGUCUUCCAUCAAGAAUAGACCUUUCACUUCCAACUGUCGAGUUUUUUGGCUUGGCACUGAAUAGAUUUUCUGGAACCAUUCCUAGUUCCAUCACCAAUGCUUCUAAGCUCACCGUUCUAGCGUUGGGAGAGAACACAUUUUCGGGCUUCAUUCCAAACACAAUUGGUAAUUUAAAAAACCUUGAGUGGCUCAGCUUGGAGAAUAAUUACUUGAAAUCUUCAACCUCAAAAUUGAGCUUUCUUUCCUCUUUGGCAAAUUGCAAGAAAUUAAGAUUCUUAAACUUAGCAGGCAAUCCACUUGACGGCUUCCUUCCAAGUUCAAUAGGUAAUCUUUCUGUGUCUUUGGAAACACUUUUCAUCGGCAAUUGCAGUAUUAGUGGCAACAUUCCUCAAGCAAUUAGCAAUUUAAGCAACUUGUUGACCUUAGCAUUAGAAUUCAAUAAAUUGACUGGACCAAUUCCAAUUACAUUUGGCCGACUACAGAAACUCCAAGGCUUAGAUCUUGCAUUCAAUAAGUUGGUAGGUUCAUUCCCAGAUGAGCUUUGCCAUCUAGCAAGGCUGGAUCAAUUGUACUUAUUUGGCAAUAAGCUUUCAGGAUCUAUACCUUCAUGCCUAAGUAAUCUCACUUCUCUAAGAUCUCUCUACUUAGGGUCUAAUAGGUUUACUUCUGUUAUUCCCUCAACUUUCUGGAGCCUAAAAUACAUCUUGUUCUUUGACUUUUCAUCAAAUUUCUUGGUUGGUACUCUUUCUUUCGACAUAGGUAAUUUGAAGGUGCUUCUAGGAAUAAAUUUAUCAGAAAAUAACUUAUCGGGUGAUAUGCCAGCCACAAUUGGAGGACUGAAAGAUCUUCAAUUUAUGGACCUAGCAUAUAAUAGAUUGGAAGGCCCAAUUCCUGAAUCAUUUGGUGACUUGACAAGUUUGGAGGUUUUGAAUUUGUCAAAAAAUAAAAUCUCUGGGUCUAUUCCAACAUCCAUAGAGAAACUCAUUUACCUUCGAGAGUUAAAUCUCUCUUUCAAUAAACUUGAAGGUGAGAUUCCUAGUGGAGGAAUUUUUACCAACUUCACAGCUGAGUCAUUUAUGGGAAAUGAGUUAUUGUGUGGUUUACCAAAUCUUCAAGUCCAACCAUGCAAACUUAGCAAGCCUAGGACAGAACAUAAAUCAAGGAAAAAGAUACUUCUCAUUGUGAUUGUUUUGCCAUUGAAGAUUGCUCUAACGAUAGCAAUCACUCUAGCUCUCAAAUCUAAGCUGAUCGAAUGUAGAAAAAGAAGCACAGAGUUAUCAAAUGAUAGUAUCUUGUCAUCACAAGCAACACUAAGAAGAUUUUCAUACUUAGAACUUUUACAAGCAACAGAUAAUUUUGCUGAAAACAACAUAAUUGGCAGAGGAGGUUUUGGUUUCGUUUAUGGAGCAAGACUUGAAGAUGGGAUGAAGAUUGCAAUAAAAGUGUUCACCAGCAAUGUGCAAGCGCAUUGAAGAGUUUUGAGGCUGAAUGUGAAGUGUUAAAAAAUAUUCGCCAUCGAAACCUUAUCAAAGUUAUCAGCAGUUGCUCGAACGAUAACUUCAAAGCAUUAGUCCUAGAAUACAUGUCCAACGGGAGCUUGGAGGAUUGGCUGCAUUCUAGCAAUUAUGUGCUGAAUAUAUUUCAGAGGUUGAACAUAAUGAUUGACGUUGCAUCAGCUUUAGAAUAUCUCCACUUCGAUCAUUCAACUGCUAUUAUUCAUUGUGACUUAAAGCCUAGUAAUGUAUUGUUGGACGAAAAUAUGGUUGCUCAUUUGAGUGAUUUUGGCAUAGCAAAGCUUUUAAGUGGAGAGGAUGAGUCUACGAUGCGAACAAAAACCCUUGCCACUAUAGGUUAUAUGGCACCAGGUUUGCUUCAAACAACUUUUUUUUUAGUUCAUUUUAAAUUUUCUAAAUCAUUGAUUUUUACGAUCCUCAUAUCAAAUUGUUACUGAUUAUUUAUCUAAUUGUGAAAUUAAUUUGAUUCAUAGAGUACGGCAUAGAAGGAGAAGUAUCUACAAAAAGUGAUGUUUACAGCUAUGGGAUUAUGUUGAUGGAAACUUUUACCAAGAAAAAACCCACAGAUGAAAUUUUUGUUGGAGAAUUGAGCUUAAAGC
Molecule: long non-coding RNA, 38522 nt
Filed under: Citrus x clementina
Lineage: Eukaryota; Viridiplantae; Streptophyta; Magnoliopsida; Sapindales; Rutaceae
Description: Citrus clementina (C. clementina) long non-coding RNA (CCLE_LNC000502)
Source: RNAcentral